UCCACUCUCUUCCAAUUAAACAAACUUUCUACUUUCAAGACCAGUUCUUGCUUCUUACACUUGCAUAGCUCUCAAGUAAUGGCUCCAACACUUGCAGAACCGACCCCCGUUUCCUCCUUUGAUCUGAAUGAUUUUGUCAUAAACAAAGGAAAUGGAGUAAAGGGUCUUUCUAAUUUAGGCCUAAAAAGCCUUCCUAGACAAUAUAUCCAGCCUCAAGAAGCUUUGAUCAAUAUCAUCCCACAAGAUUCCAUACCUGUUAUUGAUAUGUCUAACUUUGAUAGUGACCCAGAAAUUGCAGAAUCAAUCUGUGAUGCUGCGGAGAAGUUUGGGUUCUUUCAGCUUGUUAAUCAUGAUGUUCCUGUUGAAGUUCUUGAUG
RNAcentral lists this long non-coding RNA (376 nucleotides) under Ricinus communis (castor bean). RNAcentral's name for it is "long non-coding RNA (RCOM_LNC001940)". The record is from RNAcentral. Lineage: Eukaryota; Viridiplantae; Streptophyta; Magnoliopsida; Malpighiales; Euphorbiaceae.